AAUACAACUCUAUUGAAAUACAAGUGUCAGAAAACGGACAGCAUGGAAUUUUCCUGAGAACUUUGUCAUCAAGAACCGUGUACUUCUUGUUGAUCUCGACCAUCGCCUUGUGAGCAACAUUAUCGACUUCAUCCUCGUAUGUUUCGUAAAGCCGAGGCAGAGAAAUGAGAAGCAGAAAAACUGCAGACGUAGCAAUUACUGUGAGUAUUUAUCAAUAUAAACUAUGAAUGUGUAUUUGGCCAUGAACACAAUCUUUAUGUUACAAAGAAAAAAAAAUUAUCUGAAGUUAUUAGUAAUAUCCCAUAUAAGAUACUGAAAGAACAAGGAGAAAAACUAUGUAAGAAAUAAAACAAAAAUGAGAAAUGCAACUGACCAAUGUAUAU
This is a long non-coding RNA of Asparagus officinalis (garden asparagus), 383 nucleotides long. RefSeq lists it as uncharacterized. Lineage: Eukaryota; Viridiplantae; Streptophyta; Magnoliopsida; Asparagales; Asparagaceae. The record is from RefSeq and is a predicted model, not a curated record. The transcript has 2 exons.